GUGAAGGCGGGUGCCGUGCGUGUGGCAUGAUGGUGAAGAGCUCCGUUUCUACCCACAAAUAAACAUUACAGAAGCAACGCCGUGACAUGUUGGUGGUAGUUGAUCAGAGACUUCCUCGAGCUGGCCUGGAUAAAGACCCCUGAAGCACUUUGGUUUCCUCCCGCAUUCCAAAGGUGUAUAACCCAGUGCAACCUGAUGCCCCUUCUAAAUCGGAAGAAGUCCAGCACGGCUAUCAGCUCUGAACUCACAGAAACCACUGGAACCCAAGUACAGCCCUCUAUAGUCCGGACAAAUCUUGUCAGAAGUGGUCUUCGUGGAAGAGUUGCUGCCUAAAAACCAUUCUUCCAAAGUGGAAACAAAGUCAGAGACUCGCCUAUGCAUAAAAACACAAGAAGCAGGGUACUAAACAAUGCCAGCAAGUACUCUGGACUGGCGAGUCAAUAUUUGACAUUUUUGGCUCAAGCAGGAGGCAAUUUGUCCUAAGAAGAGCUGGAGAGUGCUCCAUGGAUGAGUGUCUGCAGCCAACAAUGCAAUAUGGUGAAGGUUUUCUGCAGGAUUGGGGCUGCAUUUCUGUAAAUGGAGUUGGUGAUCUGGUGAGAAUUAAUGGAAUCCUCAGUGUUGAGAAGUAUAAGCAGAUUUUCAUCCAUCACACAAUACCAUCAGGCGGCAUCUGAUCAGUCCCAAUUCCAUUCUGCAGCAGGACAAUGUUCCCAAACACACGGUCAAGGUAAUAAAAAAAUUGUCUUCUCUGAAAAGAAGAAUAAGGAGUUCUGUAGAUGGUAUGGUCUCCACAGACCCCGGAUCUCAACGUCAUCGAGGCUUUCUGGGAUUACCUGAAGAGAGAGAAGCAGGCGUGACAGCCAAAGUCUGCAGAAGAACUCUGGCAAGUUUUCCAAAAAGCGUGGAACAACCUACCAGCUGAUUUUCUUACUGAACUGCUUGACAUUGUGCCUAAAAGAAUUGAUGUAGUUUUAAAGGCUAAGGAUGGCCACACCAAAUAUUGAUAUGAUUUAGUUUUUUUUAACUGUUUACUGAUCUUUAUACAGACAUUUGAAUACAUGUCUACAUUGCUGUUACUAUAGGUUCAAGAGCCACAAAUUAAUGUUGCAGCUCUAUAAAACCCUAGUUAGACCACGUGAAAUAUUGUGCUUAGUUCUGGUCACCCCGUUAUAGGAAGGGUAUUGAAGCUUUUAGCUGGCUGGUGGCGCAGUGACAUCAGUGCCGGACUCUGGAGUGAAGGUUCCCGAGUUCGAACCCAGUCGGGCCGCUACCAGGCUCGCUUUCUAUCCAUGCCAGGUUGCGUGUCAAGCUCGCAACUUGGCCUCCUAAAAAAAAACACUACACUGUGAGAAGGACAUGGGGGACCACUCACAGAAUCUUUCCUCCAAGACAACCACUUGAAAAAGUGGUCACUGAGGCUCUGGCAGAGCAUGGCACACACGAAAAAAUUGAAGCUUUAGAGAGGGUGCAGAGGAGACUUACCAGGGUGCUGCCUGGAUUAGAGGGCAUGUCUUACGAGGAUAGAGUGAGUGAGCUAGGGCUUUUCUCUUUAGAGAAAAGGAGAAUGAAAGGUGACUGGAUGGAGGUGUACACUAUAAUAAGAGGCAUAGAUUGAGUGGAUAGCCAGAGACAUUUUCCCAGGGUGGAAAUGGGUGAUACGAGGGGGCAUAAUUUUAAGCUGAUCAGAGGAAAGCAUAGGGAGAUGUCAGAGGUAUGUUCUUUACGCAGAGAAUGGUGGGUAUGUAGAACACCAGGGUGGUGGUAGAGGCAGAUACAUUAGGGGCAUUUAAGAGGCUCCAAAAUAGGCAUGUGGAUAAUUGAAAAAUGGAAGGCUAUGUGGGAGAGAAGGGUUAGGUUGAUCUCAGAGUAGGUUAAUGGGUCGACACAACAUUGUGGACUGAAGGGCCUGGGUUGGUGCUGUAAUGUUCUAUAUUUACAGUGUUCUAUGUUCUAAAUCUAUGAAAAUGUGAAAUAAGAUGAUUCACAGUUAUGUAGAUUUUUUGUGAAAUCCAAAGUGAACAUUCAUAACUAAUUCACAUCUCUGAUCCAUCAUAACAUGAAGUGUCUUUUUCUUAAAAGAUAACAUUUUUGAUUUUCCUCUUGACUUUGUUCAAUGAGUGACAGUGUUGAUAAAUUUACUGCAUGAAGCGAAUGGGACUGCAGGGGCAGCAAAAGAAAAGAGUAGAGGUCGGCCGAUUUUCUGUACAGGUGGAUAUCAGACUUGAGGUGAUGGAAUUAAUUAUUAACCAUUAUGUUUCUUAAUGUUUCUUAAUGAAUGUUUCUUAAUGCUGCAUUGUGCUGCUAGGGAUGGUGAUAGAGGCAGAUGCAUUAAGGAUAUUUAAAAGGUCCUUAGACAGGCAUGUGGGGACGGGUGAGUCUGGGCUGGACGUCCUGCUCACUUAAGGAAGGUGAAGUCUCUCCUUUCCAGGUGUAGUGACCGCUGCAGGACCACUGUUUGGCUUGCCACUCACUCAUAUAUGGCCUCUCCUACACUGCUGCAUCCAUAGCAACGCCUUCACAUGGCGUCCCUGUUCUUACUGAGUUUGCUAUGUCAUGGCGUGACCGAGUGUCCAGCGGUAUAGCUGGGCGGGCAGGCUGAGUCAUCAGUCUUGGUUGGCAGCCAGCCUAGGCCAACUCCAAUUCCAAACCCGGGUAGGUGGGACUCGUUAGCCUUGCCAGACAGCCUGUCUAGGAGAUGGAAAACUCCGAUUCCAAACCCGGGUAGAUGGGACUUCUUAGCCUUCCCAGAGAGUCUGUCUAGGAGAAGGAAAACUCCAAUACUCAGCCUACAACCUUGUGGUCUCCACAGUCAUCACAGCUCACUGUUCCAUUGUGGAAUGUCCCCCGGCCCAAAGAGUGGAAUCGGUCCGCGUGCACUGAUCCUCACUGUAAACCUACUCAGUGCAGCGAGAAGAAAAAUCCUACAGCAAUGGUAUUUUCCCUCCUGAUCUUUGCAGUCGAAGGACCAGCCAUCAUUAUCAUCAUCAGAGAGGCAUGUGGAUGGAAAACAAAGUGAAGGGCUAUGUGGGAGAGAAGGGUGAGAUUGAUCUUGGAGUAGGUUAAGGGGUUGGCAUGAUAUCAUGGACUGAAGGGCUUGAACUGUGUU
Mobula hypostoma (lesser devil ray) is the source of this 3106-nucleotide long non-coding RNA. RefSeq lists it as uncharacterized. The transcript has 3 exons. The record is from RefSeq and is a predicted model, not a curated record. Lineage: Eukaryota; Metazoa; Chordata; Chondrichthyes; Myliobatiformes; Myliobatidae.